UAUACAGCGAAACUGCGAAUGGCUCAUUAUAUAAGUUCUUUUUUAUUUGAUAGUGCCUUACUACUUGGAUAACCGUGGUAAUUCUAGAGCUAAUACAUGCUAAAAACCCCGACUUCGGAAGGGGUGUAUUUAUUAGAUACAAAACCAAUGCCCUUCGGGGCUCUUUGGUGAUUCAUGAUAACUAUACGAAUCGCACGGCCUUGCGCCGGCGAUGGUUCAUUCAAAUUUCUUCCCUAUCAACUUUCGAUGUUUGGGUAUUGGCCAAACAUGGUUGCAACGGGUAACGGAGGGUUAGGGCUCGACCCCGGAGAAGGAGCCUGAGAAACGGCUACUACAUCCAAGGAAGGCAGCAGGCGCGCAAAUUACCCAAUCCCGACUCUGGGAGGUAGUGACAAUAAAUACUGAUACAGGGCCCUUUCGGGCCUUGUAAUUGGAAUGAGUACAAUUUAAAUCCCUUAACGAGGAACAAUUGGAGGGCAAGUCUGGUGCCAGCAGCCGCGGUAAUUCCAGCUCCAAUAGCGUAUAU
Molecule: ribosomal RNA, 526 nt
Filed under: uncultured eukaryote
Lineage: Eukaryota
Description: SSU rRNA
Rfam family: Eukaryotic small subunit ribosomal RNA
Source: RNAcentral